GUGAGUAGUUCAGAGUUUGAUCCUGGCUCAGGAUGAACGCUAGCGGCAGGCUUAACACAUGCAAGUCGAGGGGCAGCAUGAGGGUUAGCAAUAACCCUUGAUGGCGACCGGCGCAAGGGUGCGUAACGCGUGAGCAACUUGCCCGUUUCUGGGGAAUAACCGGUGGAAACGCCGACUAAUACCCCAUAGUAUUGAGUUCAGGCAUCUUUACUCAAUUAAAGAAUUUCGGAAACGGAUAGGCUCGCGUGACAUUAGCUAGAUGGCGGGGUAACGGCCCACCAUGGCGACGAUGUCUAGGGGUUCUGAGAGGAAGGUCCCCCACACUGGAACUGAGACACGGUCCAG
This 345-nucleotide ribosomal RNA is filed under the name uncultured bacterium. Its description in RNAcentral is "bacterial SSU rRNA". It matches the Rfam family "Bacterial small subunit ribosomal RNA", at positions 1 to 334 of the family's 1533-position model. The record is from RNAcentral.